ACGGCUGUCCGGCGGCCUUGUAAUCUUGUAUAUAUGUAGAUCCCCACCCAACGUGAACAGAUUAGCGUCCGGUUUGUUUACGUUUAAAAGCAAAGCAAGUUUUACUACUGGUUUAGACAAACAAAUUGGUUAUUUACACAUUUUUUGGUAUUCUUCAAGUCCAUAGAUAUGUAGAAUUUCAAUUUUUGAGUGUGAUCUACUACAAUUGACAAACAUUUCUUACUGAAAUAUUUUCCUUUUUAGAUGCCUGUAGAAGUUCAAAAGGAAGACGAAGCUGAGACUUUCACAUUUCAGGCCAUGAUUGCUCAGCUUAUGAGCUUGAUUAUCAACACGUUCUAUAGUUGAUCUCCAACUCCUCUAUGUCCUAGACAAUAUCUGUUAUGAAUCCGUGACUGACCCAAGCAAGUUGGACAGCGGUAAGGAUCUUAUUAGAAUCAAGAUUGUCCUCAACAAGAAUGACUCACUCUCAUGGAUACUGGUAUUGGCAUGAUCAUAAGGCUGAUUUGGUUAACAACUUGGGUACUAUUGCCAAGUUUGGAAGUAAAGCUUUCAUGGAAGGCCUCUCUGCUGGAGCUGACAUCUCCAUGAUUGGUCAGUUUGGUGUGGGUUUCUACUCUGCUUAUCUGGUUGCCGACAAGGUGACAGUUCAUUCCAAGCAUAAUGAUUGAAACCUCUCUGCUGUCAUCUGGUUUCUCCCUGGAAGAGCCAGCCGUCCAUGCUUCUCGCAUCUCCCGCACGAUCCCAUUGGGUUUGGGUAUCGAUGAAGAUGAUGUCCCUGCUGGUGGUGAGGAAGCCGAAGCCGAAGAAGAGAUGCCGCCAUUGGAGAAUGAUGAAGAUGCUUCUCGCUGGAGAAAGGCGAUUACACGUGUCAAUUACUGUUCUAAAACUUAAAACCCAAACUCAGUUUCUUUCAAUUGUUCUUAUUUCAGCGUUUUGGCGAACUGGAAUGAGGGCAUUCAUAUGAUAAAAUUAGUCUUAUUGUCUUAAAAUCAUGGCUUCACUUCAUUGUGUUGCUCCCUCGUUCCUGGCAUUGUAUAACUACGUGUUAAGUAUUUGAAUUCAAUACAACCAAUCGCGGUUUGCUGUAUUAAAA
Molecule: long non-coding RNA, 1093 nt
Organism: Daphnia pulex (common water flea)
Lineage: Eukaryota; Metazoa; Arthropoda; Branchiopoda; Diplostraca; Daphniidae
Exons: 2
Source: RefSeq, a predicted model, not a curated record